CAAGUACUCCCUCCGUCCAAAAUUACUUGUCCUAAAAAUGAAUAAAAUGGAUGUAUCUAUAACUAAAAUAAGUCUAGAUACAUUCAUCUGUAGGACAAGUAUUUCAUCUGUAGGACAAGUAUUUCCGGACGGAUGGAGUAUAUA
Non-coding RNA from Hordeum vulgare subsp. vulgare (domesticated barley), 144 nucleotides. The record is from Rfam. Lineage: Eukaryota; Viridiplantae; Streptophyta; Magnoliopsida; Poales; Poaceae.